This 477-nucleotide ribosomal RNA is filed under the name uncultured bacterium. RNAcentral's name for it is "partial 16S ribosomal RNA". It matches the Rfam family "Bacterial small subunit ribosomal RNA", at positions 28 to 506 of the family's 1533-position model. The record is from RNAcentral.
GAUGAACGCUAGCGGCAGGCCUAACACAUGCAAGUCGAGGGAGAAGCCCUUUCGGGGGCAGAAACCGGCGCACGGGUGCGUAACGCGUAUGCAACCUACCUUUCACAGGGGGAUAGCCCGAAGAAAUUUGGAUUAAUACCCCAUAAUAUUAUUGGAUGGCAUCAUUUGAUAAUUAAAACUGCGGUGGUGAAAGAUGGGCAUGCGUCCUAUUAGCUAGUUGGAGUGGUAACGGCACCCCAAGGCUACGAUAGGUAGGGGUCCUGAGAGGGAGAUCCCCCACACUGGUACUGAGACAGGGAGCAGACUCCUACGGGAGGCAGCAGUGAGGAAUAUUGGUCAAUGGUCGGAAGACUGAACCAGCCAUGCCGCGUGCAGGAAGAAUGCCUUAUGGGUUGUAAACUGCUUUUAUAUGGGAAGAAUAAGGCGUACGUGUACGUUGAUGACGGUACCAUAUGAAUAAGCAUCGGCGAACUCCGU